AUAGGUGGGAGGCUUUGAAACCAGGACGCCAGUUUUGGCGGAGCCAUCCUUGGGAUACCACCCUUGUAGUACUGGGACUCUAACCCUAGGCCAUGAAUCUGGUCUUGGGACACUGUCAGGUGGGCAGGUUGACUGGGGCGGUCGCCUCCCAAAAGGUAACGGAGGCGCUCAAAGGUUCUCGCAGUACGGUCGGAAAUCGUACGUAGAGUGUAAAGGCAAAAGAGAGCUUGAUUGCAAGACAUACAGG
Molecule: ribosomal RNA, 247 nt
Filed under: Clostridioides difficile
Lineage: Bacteria; Bacillati; Bacillota; Clostridia; Peptostreptococcales; Peptostreptococcaceae
Description: partial 23S ribosomal RNA
Rfam family: Bacterial large subunit ribosomal RNA
Source: RNAcentral